RNAcentral lists this ribosomal RNA (472 nucleotides) under Bacillus amyloliquefaciens. RNAcentral's name for it is "bacterial SSU rRNA". It matches the Rfam family "Bacterial small subunit ribosomal RNA", at positions 79 to 537 of the family's 1533-position model. Lineage: Bacteria; Bacillati; Bacillota; Bacilli; Caryophanales; Bacillaceae. The record is from RNAcentral.
CUUGCUCCCUGAUGUUACGGCGGACGGGUGAGUACACGUGGGUACCUGCCUGUAAGACUGGGAUAACUCCGGGAAACCGGGGCUAAUACCGGAUGCUUGUUUGAACCGCAUGGUUCAGACAUAAAAGGUGGCUUCGGCUACCACUUACAGAUGGACCCGCGGCGCAUUAGCUAGUUGGUGAGGUAACGGCUCACCAAGGCAACGAUGCGUAGCCGACCUGAGAGGGUGAUCGGCCACACUGGGACUGAGACACGGCCCAGACUCCUACGGGAGGCAGCAGUAGGGAAUCUUCCGCAAUGGACGAAAGUCUGACGGAGCAACGCCGCGUGAGUGAUGAAGGUUUUCGGAUCGUAAAGCUCUGUUGUUAGGGAAGAACAAGUGCCGUUCAAAUAGGGCGGCACCUUGACGGUACCUAACCAGAAAGCCACGGCUAACUACGUGCCAGCAGCCGCGGUAAUACGUAAGUGGCAAC